Molecule: ribosomal RNA, 481 nt
Filed under: uncultured bacterium
Lineage: Bacteria
Description: partial 16S ribosomal RNA
Rfam family: Bacterial small subunit ribosomal RNA
Source: RNAcentral
UUGAACGCUGGCGGCAUGCUUUACACAUGCCAGUCGAACGGUAACAGCACUUCGGUGGCUGACGAGUGGCGAACGGGUGAGUAAUACAUCGGAACGUGCCUAGUAGUGGGGGAUAACUACUCGAAAGAGUAGCUAAUACCGCAUGAGAUCUAAGGAUGAAAGCAGGGGACCUUCGGGCCUUGCGCUACUAGAGCGGCUGAUGGCAGAUUAGGUAGUUGGUGGGAUAAAAGCUUACCAAGCCGACGAUCUGUAGCUGGUCUGAGAGGACGACCAGCCACACUGGGACUGAGACACGGCCCAGACUCCUACGGGAGGCAGCAGUGGGGAAUUUUGGACAAUGGGCGCAAGCCUGAUCCAGCAAUGCCGCGUGCAGGAUGAAGGCCUUCGGGUUGUAAACUGCUUUUGUACGGAACGAAAAGCCCUCUUCUAAUACAGGAGGGUCAUGACGGUACCGUAAGAAUAAGCACCGGCUAACUACGUG